RNAcentral lists this ribosomal RNA (408 nucleotides) under uncultured bacterium. Its description in RNAcentral is "partial 16S ribosomal RNA". It matches the Rfam family "Bacterial small subunit ribosomal RNA", at positions 28 to 526 of the family's 1533-position model. The record is from RNAcentral.
GACGAACGCUGGCGGCGUGCCUAACACAUGCAAGUCGAACGAAGUGGCGAACGGGUGAGUAACGCGUAAUCAACCUGCCCUUCAGAGGGGGAAAACAGUUGGAAACGACUGCUAAUACCGCAUCCGGACGGAGGGGCUUGCGUCUGAUUAGCUAGUUGGAGGGGUAACGGCCCACCAAGGCGAGGAUCAGUUGCCGGUCUGAGAGGAUGAACGGCCACAUUGGGACUGAGACACGGCCCAGACUCCUACGGGAGGCAGCAGUGGGGAAUCUUCCGCAAUGGACGAAAGUCUGACGGAGCAACGCCGCGUGAGUGAUGACGGCCUUCGGGUUGUAAAGCUCUGUUAAUCGGGACGCGGUACCGGAAUAGAAAGCCACGGCUAACUACGUGCCAGCAGCCGCGGUAAUUC